UUUAAAUGGCCGCAGUAUCCUAACUGUGCAAAGGUAGCAUAAUCAUUAGUCUUUUAAUUGAAGGCUGGUAUGAAUGGUUGGACGAGAUAUUAACUGUUUCAUAUAAAUUUAUAAUAGAAUUUUAUUUUUUAGUCAAAAAGCUAAAAUUUAUUUAAAAGACGAGAAGACCCUAUAAAUCUUUAUAUUUAAAUUAUUAUAUUUUUUUAGAUUUAUUUUAAUUUAAUAAUUAAUAAUAUUUUAUUGGGGUGAUAUUAAAAUUUAAUAAACUUUUAAUUAUUAAAAUAUCAUUAAUUAAUGAAUAAUUGAUCCGUUAUUAACGAUUAAAAAUUUAAGUUACUUUAGGGAUAACAGCGUAAUUUUUUUGGAGAGUUCAUAUCGAUAAAAAAGAUUGCGACCUCGAUGUUGGAUUAAGAAAUAUAUUUUGGUGUAGCUGCUAAAAUAAUAA
RNAcentral lists this ribosomal RNA (445 nucleotides) under Haematobosca stimulans. Its description in RNAcentral is "partial 16S ribosomal RNA". The record is from RNAcentral. Lineage: Eukaryota; Metazoa; Arthropoda; Insecta; Diptera; Muscidae.